RNAcentral lists this unclassified non-coding RNA (343 nucleotides) under soil metagenome. Its description in RNAcentral is "partial contains 5.8S ribosomal RNA, internal transcribed spacer 2, and large subunit ribosomal RNA". The stretch from base 2 to 118 matches the Rfam family "5.8S ribosomal RNA", at positions 38 to 154 of the family's 154-position model. The record is from RNAcentral.
GGAAGAACGUAGCGAAAUGCGAUACGUAAUGUGAAUUGCAGAAUUCAGUGAAUCAUCGAGUCUUUGAACGCACAUUGCGCCCCCUGGUAUUCCGGGGGGCAUGCCUGUCCGAGCGUCAUUGCUGCCCUCAAGCACGGCUUGUGUGUUGGGCCUCCGUCCUCCUCCCGGGGGACGGGCCCGAAAGGCAGCGGCGGCACCGCGUCCGGUCCUCGAGCGUAUGGGGCUUCGUCACCCGCUCUUGUAGGCCCGGCCGGCGCUUGCCGACACAUCAAUCUUUUUUCCAGGUUGACCUCGGAUCAGGUAGGGAUACCCGCUGAACUUAAGCAUAUCAAUAAGCGGAGGA